UUUUGCGAGCGGGGCUAAAUGCGAGUGAAGAACGGAGAGGAGCUUGCUCCUCAAAGUUAGUGGCAGACGGGUGAGUAACGCGUGGGUAACCUACCUCUAAGUGGGGAAUACCUGGCCGAAAGGCCAGUUAAUACCGCAUAAUAUUUAGAUGCCUUAGGUCAUCUAAUUCAAAGCUGGGGAUCUUCGGACCUGGCGCUCGGAGAGGGACUCGCGUCAGAUUAGCUAGUUGGUGGGGUAACGGCCUACCAAGGCAACGAUCUGUAGCCGGCCUGAGAGGGUGAUCGGCCACACUGGAACUGAGACACGGUCCAGACUCCUACGGGAGGCAGCAGUGGGGAAUUUUGCGCAAUGGGGGAAACCCUGACGCAGCAACGCCGCGUGAGUGAAGAAGCAUCUUGGUGUGUAAAGCUCUGUCAACAGGGACCAAGGUCAGUAAGUUAAUAGCUGAUUGACUUGAUUGUACCUGUGAAGGAAGCCCCGGCUAACUCCGUGCCAGCAGCCGCGGUAAUACGGAGGGGGCAAGCGUUAUUCGGAAUUACUGGGCGUAAAGGGCGCGUAGGCGGCCUGGUCAAUGGAAAGUGAAAGCCCUCGGCUCAACCGAGGAACAGCUUCCCAUACUGCCAGGCUAGAGGAUGGGAGAGGAAAGUGGAAUUCCCGGUGUAGCGGUGAAAUGCGUAGAGAUCGGGAGGAACACCAGUGGCGAAGGCGGCUUUCUGGACCAUUACUGACGCUGAGGCGCGAAAGCGUGGGGAGCAAACAGGAUUAGAUACCCUGGUAGUCCACGCCCUAAACGAUGGAUACUUUGUGUUGCGGGUAUCGACCCCUGCAACGCAGGAGUUAACGCAUUA
Molecule: ribosomal RNA, 848 nt
Filed under: uncultured marine bacterium
Lineage: Bacteria
Description: bacterial SSU rRNA
Rfam family: Bacterial small subunit ribosomal RNA
Source: RNAcentral